AAAUACAUAUUUUUAAAAGAGAGCACGGAUUAAGACUUAAAAAUAAUAAUAAUAAAAUAAUAAUAAUUAAGUAGGACAGUCCAAAGUAGACUUUAAGGGAAACAAAGACCCCUGGAAGUUCUGUUCUGUUUAGUUUAUAAAUAUAUAUAUAUUUUUAUUUGUUCUUUUGUUUUGUUUGUUGGUUGGUUUUUUUUUUUUCCCUCCUCUCCUGGAUAUUUAUUUCUUUGGUAUUUUGAAUAGAUGUUUUAAAUGAUAUGAACCGGACCUUCAAGAGCCUUAAAUAGUUUCUUUGAUAAUUUAUUAUCAUGUGAACUGUACUCACAGGGGAAAAAAUUAUUUUGUGAGGCCAAGUAAAACUGCGCAGAGUCUAUUUUUCUACAUGUCACGUGUGUCCUGACUUUCAGAAAGCAAAAUUCUGUACUUUCCCAUCUCUCCAUUACAUUGCUCCUUCAUUUCAGCAAGCCUAAAAAACAAGCAAACAAACAAACAAACACACACAAAAAAGACAAACUUCAUGGGGGUCCGUAAAUUAUAUUUUUAUACACAGAAUUGUAAAUUAGAUUUUUUUGAGAGAUCAAUACUUAACUGAAUCACAUUUCGUUUUUUGAAAUAGUGUAAAAUAUGAGAAUAUAUUAUUUUAAUUUAAAUAGUUUCAAAUGUAACAUCAUUUCCUGUAUUGUUUUCCAUGUUUUGCGUUGUAAAAACACCAUUUGGCCAUGUUCAUGGAAGUCAAGACUGUUACACAAACUUUUUGUUUGCAAAAACCGUAAGAAACUUUGUUAUUUUUAACUUCAGAAAAAGUUUAUUAGAAAAUAAUAUUUUUUAAAAAGCGCACAUGGCGGCAAUUCUGUGACGAUGGAGAUGGUAGUUUGUACAGAGGGGGGAAAAGGAUGUUUUGCAUUAAUAAAUUGAGAAAUAACUGCUGUAAAUUUACUAAAAUGUAUUUUUGAAUAUUUUGUAAUAGUUUUAAUAGUUUUAUAGAAAUAAAAUGUGCCAUGCACAGUUUGGUUAGUAUAUAAUAACUAAGAGUUCCUGGUGCAUCCCAUUUUUUUUUUCCUUUUUGCUUAUUGGUUUAGGAAUUAUGAUGCCUAAAUGAGUGCCCGUUAUUUUAUUUAGAUGUGUUGCUUAUAACAUUUAAUUUUGGUACUUUAAUUAAGGAAAUGAAUCCAUCACAUCUGUGCAUAACCUGGAAUCUCUUGUACUGACAGUAGAACCUCACUUAUUUGCACGAGCGACCGGCAGACGGGUUUUCCUUUGCCAGAGCCCUGGCUCCCCAUCCGCGCUCAGGUGAUGCUCCUCUCUUCCAGCUCCAGCACCGGCUCCAUGUCCACUUCCCAGUCUGGUCUGGAGACUGUGGAUGGCUCUUAAAAUUGAUUUCUGAGGACGUUAAAGCAAGUUUUCCCUUUGAAGCACGUUAAUGUGAAGGCAGGCAGCUGUCUUCACCUUGGGACAACACCGGGAUUUCAGUGGGCUUCAAUUUGGGUGCCCAGAAGAUGGAAACCUGAGGGAGAGACAUUGACUUUGUCUAGGAUGUUCAUCCACCAGGCCUUUUGCUCCAGAGAAACAGCCAUGUUCUCUGUCGGGAUGGACGGCAGCUCCAAGGCCUCCCGGAAUGCCCCUGCCUGGGGCCAUCUCCAGAGAGUGUAGACAGUGCUCUUCCACGCUGAAAUCCUAGGAGUUUCUGGAGCACUGUCAGGAGCUGAUGGCCGAGCCCCAUGCAUGAGCACUGCUGUGUCAAGCCCCAACAGAUGGAUGUGGUCUCUUCUUCCUGUCAACCUCUAGUCCAGGCCCACUUCCAGCCUCCAAAGAUCGGACAUGGCCAGGCUGGUGAGACUUCGGAGUGACCACAGCGUACUGCAGCGCCAGGAGAGGAACCAAGCCACCCCAUGCCCACCCGACAUGAGGCAUCACGGGGGACUGUGGACUGCCUGGUGGGUGCUGAGGGCUUGCUGCCCACCCCAGCUCGGACUCUGCCACCUCCCUGUCUUUGGGAUGUGCUGGGGGCUGCAAACCCAGCUGAUUUGGGGCAUGUGAGAAUGUGAUCGUGGAACAAAUGAGUCUCUGCUGUAAGAGUCUGGCCUUAGUACAGCAGCGUCUGGGUGUCUGAGCUCUCUUACCGUGUCUCUGAGAGGUGGUUGAUGUUUUUUAAGGCCUUUGCACUCAAAGAAAUGACCGUGUUGGAAGGUCCCUUCUCCAGAGGUUGGGUGGUGGAGGUGUUUAGGGAUGUCAAUGAUCAAAUUUAAAGCCACUGGCUUGAGGGCUUUCAGUCAAAAUCACAACUGAGAUGUAAAAGAGCCAUCAGACCAGAGCCCACGCUUGUGUCAGGGCAGGGCAUGUGCCUGGAUGGGACCACACCAGACAUUGCCUCAUUUAAUCUUCACCCAAAGGCCGAGAUGAGCUCAGAGCUUUGUGGUGUGAGAGAAGCUAAGAUGCUCUUACGCCAGGAUCAGCCUGUUUCACCAAGCAGAGAAAUGCUGUGCCAUGUUCUCCGUUGCACUUAUUCCAAGCAGCUUCAUGUCCUCCUCUCAUCAUGUCUGUAUUUCACCUCUCCCUCUGGCACCUCUCAUCAGGAUCACCCCUCAGUGGUGUGUUAGAAGUGCUUCCUUAGAUGGGCCAAUCCAACCCAUAGCUACAGCUCUUAUAUGAAGGAUGUACUGCCAUAACUUUGUGCAAAACAUCUAGGAGAUGUCACUGUCCAUUUUCAGGGUCCAAGUAUGGCAAUAGUUUGUAUAAAAUGUACACAUAGUGGUGGCUACAGAAUAGUUUAUGACUAAAUACGUAUCUAUUACUGUCAAAAUAAUGUAUAAGAAUGUACUUGAAGCUAUUAUCCUUGUGCUCUGUUGUCUGAAUAAUUAAAGAAAUUACAGAGACUUCC
This is a long non-coding RNA of Corvus hawaiiensis (hawaiian crow), 2875 nucleotides long. RefSeq lists it as uncharacterized. The transcript is spliced from 2 exons. The record is from RefSeq and is a predicted model, not a curated record. NCBI's taxonomy places the organism in Eukaryota, Metazoa, Chordata, Aves, Passeriformes, Corvidae.